GUCAGAAUGGCCUAUCCGUGUAAGGCACAGACCUGCUUUCAGGUUGCAGAAGCCUCUGAAGGUGUGGGUUCAAAUCCCACUCCUGACC
RNAcentral lists this transfer RNA (88 nucleotides) under Ovis aries (sheep). It matches the Rfam family "tRNA". Rfam says of the family: Transfer RNA (tRNA) molecules are approximately 80 nucleotides in length. Lineage: Eukaryota; Metazoa; Chordata; Mammalia; Artiodactyla; Bovidae. The record is from Rfam by way of RNAcentral.